Molecule: non-coding RNA, 30 nt
Filed under: Mus musculus (house mouse)
Lineage: Eukaryota; Metazoa; Chordata; Mammalia; Rodentia; Muridae
Source: RNAcentral
UGCCAAUGAGUGACUAGCUAAAGGUGCUCA